Molecule: ribosomal RNA, 492 nt
Filed under: uncultured bacterium
Lineage: Bacteria
Description: partial 16S ribosomal RNA
Rfam family: Bacterial small subunit ribosomal RNA
Source: RNAcentral
AGUGAACGCUGGCGGUAGGCCUAACACAUGCAAGUCGAACGGCAGCACAGUAAGAGCUUGCUCUUACGGGUGGCGAGUGGCGGACGGGUGAGGAAUACAUCGGAAUCUACUUUUUCGUGAGGGAUAACGUAGGGAAACUUACGCUAAUACCGCAUACGACCUACGGGUGAAAGCAGGGGAUCUUCGGACCUUGCGCGAUUGAAUGAGCCGAUGUCGGAUUAGCUAGUUGGCGGGGUAAAGGCCCACCAAGGCGACGAUCCGUAGCUGGUCUGAGAGGAUGAUCAGCCACACUGGAACUGAGACACGGUCCAGACCCCUACGGGAGGCAGCAGUGGGGAAUAUUGGACAAUGGGCGCAAGCCUGAUCCAGCCAUACCGCGUGGGUGAAGAAGGCCUUCGGGUUGUAAAGCCCUUUUGUUGGGAAAGAAAAGCAGCAGGUUAAUACCCCGCUGUUCUGACGGUACCCAAAGAAUAAGCACCGGCUAACUUCGUG